UCUAAUAUGGCAGAAUUAAUGCAAUGGAUUUAAGCCCCAUUAAUAAAGAAUUAUACUUUUUUUAGAA
This 67-nucleotide transfer RNA is filed under the name Dolophilodes bellatulus. RNAcentral's name for it is "tRNA-Leu". Lineage: Eukaryota; Metazoa; Arthropoda; Insecta; Trichoptera; Philopotamidae. The record is from RNAcentral.